CAGUAGCCACGGUAAUACGUAGGGUGCGAGCGUUAAUCGGAAUUACUGGGCGUAAAGCGUGCGCAGGCGGUUCGUUAAGACAGAUGUGAAAUCCCCGGGCUUAACCCGGGAACUGCAUUUGUGACUGGCGAGCUAGAGUAUGGCAGAGGGGGGUAGAAUUCCACGUGUAGCAGUGAAAUGCGUAGAGAUGUGCAGGAAUACCGAUGGCGAAGGCAGCCCCCUGGGCCAAUACUGACGCUCAUGCACGAAAGCGUGGGGAGCAAACAGGAUUAGAUACCCCGGUAGUCCCUGUCUCUUAUAC
This 301-nucleotide ribosomal RNA is filed under the name uncultured bacterium. RNAcentral describes it as "partial 16S ribosomal RNA". It matches the Rfam family "Bacterial small subunit ribosomal RNA", at positions 509 to 807 of the family's 1533-position model. The record is from RNAcentral.